This is a transfer RNA of 86 nucleotides. It matches the Rfam family "tRNA". From Rfam's summary of the family: Transfer RNA (tRNA) molecules are approximately 80 nucleotides in length. Their secondary structure includes four short double-helical elements and three loops (D, anti-codon, and T loops). The record is from Rfam.
UCCGAUAUGGUGUAGUGGCCAACAUGAUGCCCUCUCAUCUCUUGAGAGGUUAGGCAUAGCCCCGAGUUCGAUUCUCGGUUUCGGAA